CCUACGGGGGGCAGCAGUAGGGAAUCUUCCGCAAUGGACGAAAGUCUGACGGAGCAACGCCGCGUGAGCGAAGAAGGUCUUCGGAUCGUAAAGCUCUGUUGUUAGGGAAGAACAAGUACGGGAGGAAAUGACCGUACCUUGACGGUACCUAACGAGGAAGCCACGGCUAACUACGUGCCAGCAGCCGCGGUAAUACGUAGGUGACAAGCGUUGUCCGGAAUUAUUGGGCGUAAAGCGCGCGCAGGCGGUUUUUUAAGUCUGAUGUGAAAUCUUGCGGCUCAACCGCAAGCGGGCAUGGGAAACUGGGAGACGUGAGUGUAGAAGAGGAAAGCGGCAUUCGACGUGGAGCGGUGAAAUGCGGAGAGAAGUGGAGGAAAAGCAGUGGCGUAGGCGGGUUUAUGGUCUGUAGCUGACGCUGAGGCGCGAACGCGUUGGGAGCAAACAGGAAUAGAUACCCUAGUAGUC
This 465-nucleotide ribosomal RNA is filed under the name uncultured bacterium. RNAcentral describes it as "partial 16S ribosomal RNA". It matches the Rfam family "Bacterial small subunit ribosomal RNA", at positions 338 to 795 of the family's 1533-position model. The record is from RNAcentral.